ACCCAGUCUGUGAUGCCCUUAGAUGUUCUGGCCGCACGCGCGCUACACUGAUGAAGUCAACGAGUUUAUAACCUUGGCCGGAAGGUCUGGGUAAUCUUUUGAAACUUCAUCGUGCUGGGGAUAGUCCAUUGCAAUUAUUGGACUUCAACGAGGAAUUCCUUAGUAAGCGCGAGUCAUCAGCUCGCGUUGAUUACGUCCCUGCCCUUUGUACACACCGCCCGUCGCUACUACCGAUUGAAUGGCUUAGUGAGACCUUCGGAUUGGAGGUAGGUUGCUGGCAACAGCAACCAGCUUCCGAGAAGUUGGUCAAACUUGGUCAUUUAGAGGAAGUAAAAGUCGUAACAAGGUUUCCGUAGGUGAACCUGCGGAAGGAUCAUUAUAAAAAAUUCGGGCUUGGGUUUAACCCAAGACCUGCCCCCAAAAGGGACCUUUUGUGCACUGUAAAAUUUUUUCACUUAAGCUUUGUCUGAUUGAUAUUUGUACCGAAAGGGACAAGAAUUUUAAUCUAAAACAACUUUUAACAAUGGAUCUCUUGGCUCUCGCAUCGAUGAAGAACGCAGCGAAAUGCGAUAAGUAAUGUGAAUUGCAGAAUUCAGUGAAUCAUCGAAUCUUUGAACGCAUAUUGCGCUCUCCGGCAUUCCGGAGAGCAUGCCUGUUUGAGUAUUGGCCUAAAUGAGAGUCUUCCUUUAAAGAUAUAAAAAAGAACGUCAAGAACCCUCAGUUGAGACUUCUCGACAAUUCAUUGCCGAGUGUUUUAAAAUGCAAUAGUACCGCCACGUUUGCGAACUUGGAGUAAUAUGUGAGCCUGAAAAGGUGACCUCUAUUCUCCUCGGACCAUGUAGACUUGUUAAGCGGGAAGUUUUUGAAUGCCGAAUUAUGGGAGACGGUGUUCAAUUGUUCGAGUAACGACGAACGAAAUAAACUCAAUCUCAAAUCAGGUAGGAUUACCCGCUGAACUUAAGCAUAUCAAUAAGCGGAGGAA
Molecule: ribosomal RNA, 982 nt
Filed under: Olpidium brassicae
Lineage: Eukaryota; Fungi; Olpidiomycota; Olpidiomycetes; Olpidiales; Olpidiaceae
Description: eukaryotic LSU rRNA
Rfam family: Eukaryotic small subunit ribosomal RNA (bases 1-379)
Source: RNAcentral